GAACGGACCCUUCGGGGUUAGUGGCGGACGGGUGAGUAACACGUGGGAACGUGCCUUUAGGUUCGGAAUAGCUCCUGGAAACGGGUGGUAAUGCCGAAUGUGCCCUUCGGGGGAAAGAUUUAUCGCCUUUAGAGCGGCCCGCGUCUGAUUAGCUUGUUGGUGAGGUAAUGGCUCACCAAGGCGACGAUCAGUAGCUGGUCUGAGAGGAUGACCAGCCACAUUGGGACUGAGACACGGCCCAAACUCCUACGGGAGGCAGCAGUGGGGAAUCUUGCGCAAUGGGCGAAAGCCUGACGCAGCCAUGCCGCGUGGAUGAUGAAGGUCUUAGGAUUGUAAAAUCCUUUCACCGGUGAAGAUAAUGACUGUAGCCGGAGAAGAAGCCCCGGCUAACUUCGUGCCAGCAGCCGCGGUAAUACGAAGGGGGCUAGCGUUGCUCGGAAUUACUGGGCGUAAAGGGAGCGUAGGCGGACAUUUAAGUCAGGGGUGAAAUCCCAGAGCUCAACUCUGGAACUGCCUUUGAUACUGGGUGUCUUGAGUGUGAGAGAGGUAUGUGGAACUCCGAGUGUAGAGGUGAAAUUCGUAGAUAUUCGGAAGAACACCAGUGGCGAAGGCGACAUACUGGCUCAUUACUGACGCUGAGGCUCGAAAGCGUGGGGAGCAAACAGGAUUAGAUACCCUGGUAGUCCACGCCGUAAACGAUGAUUGCUAGUUGUCGGGAAGCUUGCUUCUCGGUGACGCAGCUAACGCAUUAAGCAAUCCGCCUGGGGAGUACGGUCGCAGAUUAAACUCAAGGAAUUGACGGGGCCCGCACAGCGGUGGAGCAUGUGGUUAAUUCGAAGCACGCGCARACUUACACCUUUUGACAUGCCUGGACGCAGA
RNAcentral lists this ribosomal RNA (879 nucleotides) under Brevundimonas lenta. Its description in RNAcentral is "bacterial SSU rRNA". It matches the Rfam family "Bacterial small subunit ribosomal RNA", at positions 64 to 1000 of the family's 1533-position model. The record is from RNAcentral. Lineage: Bacteria; Pseudomonadati; Pseudomonadota; Alphaproteobacteria; Caulobacterales; Caulobacteraceae.